This 72-nucleotide transfer RNA is filed under the name Chelonia mydas (Green sea turtle). It matches the Rfam family "tRNA". Rfam says of the family: Transfer RNA (tRNA) molecules are approximately 80 nucleotides in length. Their secondary structure includes four short double-helical elements and three loops (D, anti-codon, and T loops). Further hydrogen bonds mediate the characteristic L-shaped molecular structure. tRNAs have two regions of fundamental functional importance: the anti-codon, which is responsible for specific mRNA codon recognition, and the 3' end, to which the tRNAs corresponding amino acid is attached (by aminoacyl-tRNA synthetases). tRNAs cope with the degeneracy of the genetic code in two manners: having more than one tRNA (with a specific anti-codon) for a particular amino acid; and 'wobble' base-pairing, i.e. permitting non-standard base-pairing at the 3rd anti-codon position. The record is from Rfam by way of RNAcentral. Lineage: Eukaryota; Metazoa; Chordata; Testudines; Cheloniidae.
GGCAGCAUGGUCUAGUGAUUAGGGCACUGGGCUGGGAGUCAGGAGACUUGGGUUUUAUUCCCAAUUCUGCCA